Homo sapiens (human) is the source of this 341-nucleotide long non-coding RNA. RefSeq lists it as uncharacterized. NCBI's taxonomy places the organism in Eukaryota, Metazoa, Chordata, Mammalia, Primates, Hominidae. The transcript has 2 exons. The record is from RefSeq and is marked validated.
GUGUUUGCUGGAUUAACGACAGGUCGAUGCCAAUACAGGACACCCCUGCAGGUUUAAAAAACAAAAUGGCCAAGGCUCUCCCCAGGUGUCGAUGGGGUGGGAGGCAUGGCCCAACUCCUGAAGAUGUCAUGGCACAGUGGGCAGCCACCAUGGGGAAUCCGGCCGGGAUGACAGAGACAGCCCUGCAGCACGGCACUGCUCAUAGUGGGGCCAGGCCCUGGAGGAGUCUCCUGAAGCCACAAACAUACAUAGUCCGCACCCUCCCCUGCCCCAAACUCAGCGUGUAGCAGAUCAACCUCUGUACUAUCAGCCAAGCCAAUACAACAAGCACAGUGAUUGUG